AGGCUUGUCAGCCAGUAGGCUUGUCAGCCCCUAGCGGCUGCUCCUUAUCUUAGUCUCUGGGCGUGAAGGAGACUGGCAGGAAGGCAGACCUGGCCAUAAACGUUGCCCUUUGCCCCCGCCCGCGGACUCGGGAAAUUGGAGUCAUUUCUGCCAUGUUGGAAAGAGGAGAGGCAGAGUAGCAUUGUGUUCUAAGAAAAUAUACUGAUGGAGACACCAAGUUUUGGUGAUGUUCAAGUGCCUUAAGAUGGUUAUGGAAAAGGAACAAAACAUGGGACUAGCAGCCAACUCAAGAGUAUGCUGACAAAUAAUCUAUUAGCAGAAGCCAAAAGAAAACAAAUAAAAAAAUACUAAUCGAGAGCUUACUUAGUAAAGCACGGAACAGCUGAUGGACUGCACCGCCCCCAGCUCCGCCCCCGGGGCCGCCCCAUCAGUUCCCAGCAGCCAAUGGGGAGAGAGGGGGCCGCGAGGCCGCCAGGGGAGAGGCUGUCACCAACGCACGUGACCUGGAGCAGAGACCCGGAGACUUUCUUAAGUUAGAAACAAGCCCGGGCAACAAAGAAGUGGAGAGCGAUGGUGGGUAGGGAGGGGAAGCUGUGGGGUAGUGCGGGGCUGGCGGCGAGGAGGAAAGUCUGAGAAGUCUGGACGUGAGGACCCUGCGCCUGAAGAGAAGGACAAGAAGCACUUUCUGAGAGAGCUCCCUUGAAUGUUACUUGACCAAGCCAGGGGAGGAGGGAGCCUUCUCGCGGUUCUUUCCUUCCACCAGCGACUAGGAGCAGGGGCUUUGUACAAAAUGAACUCUACCCUCCUUGGCUCCCUCAUCUUCCCGGGGUUGCCGAUCUCCAAGCUCCCUUUAUGAGGGGCCAGUGCAUGACUCUGGGGGACAGCAGGUCAAUCAUUGCAGAAAAGUGUGUGUAUCUGUGUCUUUGUGUGUGCGCGCGAGCCAGUCUGAGGCAUGCUACUCAUCACCAUUAAGAUAAAGGUCAGGCCUCACCUCCUUCUGGCAGACUGGGCCCAGAAAACUGUAAACAGUUGCCUCCACCUGGAAGCCCGUCGAAGUGUGUGGAAGGAGUUGGUCAGCCCAGGUGUAAAGGCAAAGGGGGUUACAAGAAACUCCCCCUCCUGCCUUAGAUUGUUUUUACCAACUUUGUGGCUUUGGGGCAAGCUUCUUACUUUAAGGCCUGUUUCCUCAUCUGUUAAAUGGAGUUUAAUUAUUUCACAAGGUAGUAACAAAAAGAUAAAAUAACAGUGGGCAUGGAAACAUUUGAAAAUAUAAAGUGUUAUACAAUAUAACAUUACUUUUUUACCUUGUGUAAGAAAGGAGUCUUAAGGGGUGGAGUUUGGAGCCUCACCUUUGAUACACCCUGGAGCAGGAAUGCCUACCACUAGAAGACUCAAAAGAGUUCUGGGACCACAUCACUGCAGCAGUAACUCGUUUAUAUGAAGAUUUGUAGUUAUAAAGCUUCAUAUUUCAACAUUCUCCUCACAACAAUCUUGUAACAUAGGUAGUACAAAUUCAAAUCCCAAUUUUAUAUAUAGAACUGGCAUAUCUUUGAAGUUCUAGCAUGCAUAAGAGCCUCAAUAAAGUCUGCUUAUUGGAACUGGAAUUUAUGGAAAUGCAAUGCAAUCUUAGCUCCAUCCUUGACUCUACUACCACAGAAAGGGCCCCAGUAGCAAAGUCACUUAAAGGAAUGUCUUAUUACUUUCUAGGCUGCAAGAGGAUUCUCUACCAUGCUUCUUCACCUCUUCAUCUUGAAGCCUCAAUCUGUUUCUGGAAUUCAUACAUUGGAAGUAUCUGUACUUUCAGGCCUCUGAAUAUCCUAAGGAGAGCCAGCAAGUGUCUCAUUGGUUUUCUGACUGCACUUGCCUUUCUUUACCACCUUCUGCCCUCCUCCUUUUCUUUCUUUUAUAUAUCGUUUUCCCCCUAUGAGAAAGUUGUUCUUCCUUUGUUUUGAAGAGAUCUAGUGACAGCAUGAAUGAUGUUUUUCCUAUGGAAAGAGAGCCAGGAAGUAUCUGAUAUCAGAUUUGAACCGAGGACCUCCCAUGAUACCUUGCUGCCUUUCACUAGAAAGGAGAGGUUCCAGCAUGGCAGUCAUGGGGUAAGCAUUCUCCCAUAAUACUUAUUGUUUGUCCCAUUCAAAUGGGCACUUUUGUUAUUAAUUUUUCACAUCUAUUUGUCUUUUCUUAAAGGUUAUUUUAGUGGAGCAGGUCAUACCUGCCAAUGAAGAAAAGCUUUGAGUUAGGCCUAACCUACAGUUGAGAUUUUUAUAGUCUUUUAUAGUCUUUUUAUUUUUAUGGUCUUUUAUAACCACAUGAACUCCGGUUGCCACAUUUGAUAUUAUUUCCUCACUUGUCUUCCCUAAAUCUAUGAGAAGGGUUCAGCAAUAGCUUUCUUUCAAUUUCACGUUUGUAUUAAAAGACUCACUACAAAAUGAUGUUGGUCACAUCCUAUAUGUCUGUUAUUUCAGGACCAACUACUGUAGCUAAAUUUAUCAGAUUUCAGCCACAGAAACUCUCAAAUAUUUAAUAAGUGACAGUCAAUAGUAUCAUUUAGCUUACUGUCUCUCAGAGCCGCUCAUGAAAACAUAGAUCUAGGCUGCACCCAACCCCCACAAAGAAAGAAAGAGAGAGAGAGAGAAAGGAAGGAAAGAAGAAAGAGAGAGAGGAAAGAAAGGAAGGAAAGAAGGAAGGAAGGAAAGCCCAAAAUUUAGCAUGGCUAAAAACAAAAUGCAAAAGAACUCUUACUAGAAUGAGACCUGGAUUCAGGAUCUGAGGCCCUGGGACUUGAAUCACUACCAAGUUACUUACUAUCUAUAUAACCCUGAGUGAUUUAUUUAGCUUCAAUGGGCUUUAUUUUCCUUAUCAGUUAAAUGAGGAGAUUGUAUUAGGUGCUUUCUAAGGUUCCUUCUAGCUCCAAAUCCAAUGAUCUUUUAUGUUGUAAUAAAAAGAUAAAGCUAAACAAAAUAGUCCUAGCACUGGCCUUUUUAUGGUAAUUGAGUCUGCAAACUUAGAUAAUUUUCUUUCUGUUUGCUCAAGUUCUGAUUCAUAACUUUCCCAGCUCACACUUAUCUAGUAUAUGCAAUUUAAUAGAUAGGAUCUCAAAUAUCUAGGAGUAGCAGCAGCUAAGGAGCAGAGUAGAUAGAACACCAGGCCUGAAGUAUACUUAGUAUUACUUAGCAUCAAUUUUAAGACAGAAGGUAAGGGUAGGGGGCAAAAAAUGUCUAUGAAUGUGGUUCUGUCAUGAAGUUAAACACUAUACUAGAUACUUCCUAGCUGGGAGACCAUUGGCAAGUCACUUUACUCCAACCACUAAUCCUUUACCACUCAUCUGCCUUAGAAUAGAUAUACUCAGUAGUAAUUUUAAGGCAGAAGGUAAGGGAGUUUAAAAAAAAAAGCAAUGUUUCAAAAAUGGAAAUCAUCCUAUAUUAUUCAAUAGUCUUAAAUUUUAGAAGUCCUAAAAAGGAAAAAGAAGAGUCAAGCAAACUAGCUAAAACUGAUAAUUCAUCAGUAAACAGGUAGUGUUUAUUGCACAUCAAUUUUGUUUUCUGCUGUAUUGGGCCUAGUGCUGUGGGAGAUCAGAAUCAGCUAGAUGAGUCGUCAGCAAGCAUGUAUUAAGCACCUACGAUGUUCCAGGCUAUGCCCUGGGUUUACCAUUUCUCUAGGAGUUGGCCAUCCUGGGAGAGGAUAUAACAUGCAUACAACUGUGUAUAAACAAGAAACAUAGAAGACAAACUGGAGAUUUUUAUAGAGGGAAUGCAUUACAAUAAAAGAUUAAAAACUGGGAAAGGUUUUCUUCUAGAAGUCAGAAACUUUAGCUAAAACUUGAAGGAAUCCAGGAAAGCCAGGAGGCAGAGAAGGGAAGGGAAAGAGUUCCAGGCAUGAGGAACAGUGAAUGAAAACACUCAGCCUAGGGAUGGAGUGUGCCAUACAAAGAACAGCAAAGUGGCCAGUGUUACUUCAUCACAAGCAGAGUUCUUGGCAGGGAGUAAAGUGUAAGAAGUGGAAAGAGAGGAAGGGGCUAGGUAAUAGGAUCUGUAUUCACUGCCCCCCAAGAAGCUAAUAAUCAAGUUAGAAAAAUGAGAUUAACACAACCAAGGGAUUAGUCAACAACAUAGCACUAAAGUACUUUAGAUAUUUAGGCUCAACCAAAUGGAAAGGACAGAACCCAAGAAAGAUUUAGUGGAGUACUUUUGCCUUCUCUCUUCUUUUCAACUUCCUUUUUUGUGUAGCUUUCCCUUCUUAGAGUGUAAGCUCCUGUAAGACUGACUUUCUAAUUGUAUUUGUAUUCCUAGAAUUUAUCAUGGUGCUUGAUACAUAAAAAGCAUUUAAUAAAUGCUAAAAUAGAUAAACUUUUCCACCAAAGAAUACCAUUUCAAGUUAAAACUAUUAUUGUUAUUACAAUGGAGGGCAAGAAAUCCCCAAAACUUUAACCACUCUUGGGGACUUUAACACCAAAAGCAAUAAUAGAAAUAAAAACAAAUGCCUCUUCUUUCUCCAUUGAGAAAACUAUCACAAAGAAGGAAGAAUUCUAGAAUGGUAUCUUAAUUUUUGCUUAUCUAGCUUGCUCUUUUUAUUUUUUAGCACAGACUGGUGAAUUCAUCCAUUGAUUGGUAUAGAGAAUCUUAGCAUGGAAACUCAUUUACAAAUGUAAUUUGGAAACUCCUCUGUAAUUUAUCAUGUUAGAGAAUUGUCAGGGGGCACUGAGAUACUAAGUGACUUGUCUACACUUAUACAGAUUAUACCCAAAAUCACAGGCAGGACUUGAUCUCAGGCCAUACUGACUCUGGCCAGCCCUCUGUCCACUAGAACUAGAUGACAAUUCAGUGAAUGGUCAAAACCAUUCAGGGAAUGGGUCACUAGACCCACUAAAGGAAAGGCUAUCUCUCAGAUGAGACAUAGGGCCUGCUUCCUUCAAAUCAACAAAAUUUAUUAAGUCCCUAUUUUGUUCCUACUACUGUAUUGGGCACUGGGUACACAAAUACAGAAAAUAAAGCUACCCUAUGCUUAUAUUUUAUUGAGGAAGACAAUAGGUAUAUGUAUAUAUAUACAUAUAUAUGCAUGAAUAUAGUAUAAAUUUUAAGUGAAAAAACAGCAAUUGUUCAAUAAAAGAUCAUUUGAAGUGGAGGGCACUAAUAUUUGGAAGACUCAGAAAAAGUUUCCUAUGAAAAAUGGUACUAUAGCUUGGAGAAAGAAAGGAAGGACUCUUGUGAAGAUUGGAUUUGGCUCUCUCCUGAUUGUAACAAUGAAUUUAAUCUUCUCAAUCAAGGAAGAGCGAAGUACCUUCAUUGUUAGAAUCAGGGGAGAGCCAAAUCCAAUCUUCACAUUCUACAGGUAUGUGUUAGGAAGGAGUCCAUUCCUGGCCUUCUUUGUCAUUUAGAACACCACUGAUAUACCUAAAUAACAUUUUAAAUGUAUAUAAAAUUUUCAAGAUUCAUGUACAUUAACACAAUAGGGAUAAAUAUAUGCAAGCAAAAUAGAAGAGCAUAAAAUAAAUGCAUGUAACUAAUUAUAAUAGAACUUUAUACAUAUAGCACAUGUUAUGGAAUUAUUCUUCCAACCAUCCAUUCAUGGCAGAUCUGAUCUCCAGAUUUCAGCUCUCUUCUCUCCUUUAAAAUGAGUCUGGUGGCAGCCAUGGAAAAAUAUUCUAAAUCAAUUAAUUAAAUAAAAAUUUUCAAACAAAAAAAUUUAAUAAAAAAAGUAAAGUGAGUGUGGUGGUAGUCAAUAAGAAUUUAUUAAGUGCUUGCCAAAUACCAGACACUGUGCUAAGUGCUAAGGAUAUAAAGAAAGGUAAAAAAUAGUACCUUCCUUCAAGGAGCUCCUAGUCUAUUCAGGGAGGCAAUUUGCAAACAAAUAUGUAUAGGAUAGAUAAGAAAUAAUCCACAGGAAAAGGCACUAGAAUUAAGAUAGUUUAGGGAAGGCUUCCUAUAGAAGGUAGAAUUUUAUUUGAGACUAAAAGGAAGCCAGCAAAGUCGGUAGGCAGUGAGAGAGCAUUCCAGGUAUGGAGAAUAGCCAGAGAAAAUUCCCAUAUCUGAGAGAUGGAGUAUCUUAUUCCUGGAACAGCCAGGAGGCCAGUGUCACUGGAUCAAAGAGUAGUAGUAGUAGUAGUAGUAGUAGUAGUAGUAGUAGUAGUAGUAGUAGUAGUAGUAGUAGUAGUAGUAGUAGUCUCUCGGUAACCCAGGAUGAUGAUUGUCUUUGUGCACUUUCAUCUGUGAUGUAGAUGAGUGCGCACAAAGACAUUUGUGCUUGAGGGAGAUUUAAAUGGAAAAGCCGGUGCACAGAGACAGUCCCACUCUCUCAGCGUUGGAAGCCUGGGUCCAGUGGCAUGAAAAGUCGUUACACCUGGAGACUUCCUCAGCUGCAUUGGAUGGCCGUGUUGUCUUUUGUGCUCCAACACGCCCUGAGCACUCCACAGUGCUUUGCUGCGUCGCCCUCUCAGCCGUUGAACCUUCCUAUUGGUUUCUUCCGUCUGUUCAGCUGAAGCAGUCUUCACAUGCUGGGUGAGCAAAGCUCGAUGGCUACCCUCACAAGGUUUAGCCAGCCUGUCGAAGCCGUUGCCCGGGAUGUGGCCGCUGCCGCAUGCUAGCAGCUACUGGGAGCCACAAGUGAGAGCUGGGUGUCAGGUGAGGGUCAGAGGCUGGAGAGAGCUGCCCUAGGCGGGCACGACAAGCCCUCCAUACCAGAGAUACUACCCCUCCCUGAGCACCCUGUACACCCUGGAUCAAAGAGUAUGUGGUGAAGAAUAAGGUGUAAAGAGACUCAAAAGGUAGAAGUGGGCUUGGCUAUGAAGGACUUUGAAUAUCAAACAGCGGAUUUUGUAUUUAAUUAUGGGAAUGAUAGGAACCACUGGAGUCUAUGGAAAAGAGGGGUGGGGCAGCUGGGUGCCUGAGUGGAUUGAGAGUCAGGCCUAGAGACAGAAGGUCCUGGGUUCAAAUUUGACCACAGACACUUUUCAGCUGUGUGACCCUGGGCAAAUCACUUGACCCCCAUUGCCUAGCCCUUACCACUCUUCUGCCUUGGAGCCAUCGAGUCCUUACACAGUAUCAACUCCAAGACAGAAGGUAAGGAGAGAGAGAGAGAGAAGAAGAAGAAGAAGAAGAAGAAGAAGAAGAAGAAGAAGAAGAAGAAGAAGAAGAAGAAGAAGAAGAAGGAGGAGGAGGAGGAGGAGGAGGAGGAGGAGUGGGGGGAGGAAAGGAGGGAGAAGAGAGAGAAAGGAAGGAGGAAAAAAAGAAAGAAAAAGAAAAAGAGGGUGAUCAGACCUGCAACAAAGCAAGUUUGUUGUCUGUGGAGCAGACAUUCCAGAGGGCACAAUGGAAGGGUCAUGUAUCAUUUGUUUGGGACUUUGUGGUGAGUGGCAGAGAGGAAUAUGGAUAAAGAAUCAGGUGGUGAGGAAUGUGGCUACAAGGGUUCGGUCACUGAGAUGCAUAGGAUAUGACCAAGUGUGAAUAUGUUAUAUCACUAAGUGAAAAGUUCUCCUCAUCCCAGAGGAGGCUGGAAAUUAGGUAGGAAAUAUCUACUGUACAGCAAUCUACUAUUGAAGGCUCAACCAAAUGAAAGACUCCUUUUUCUUUUCUCCUCUUCCCUCAAAAGGCUGGAGAUUAGGUAAGAGAUGAAAAAAUUAAGAGAAGAAAGAUGAUUCUUUCAGAAAAAGAGACACAGACCCUUUAGUCUUUGAGUCAGAACACACUAGGGAUUUCUGUCUUUACCAAAAAUAAGCAUUCUUGAACAUCUCUUCUAAUUCCUUGGCCAAAGGGGUGCCAUAAUGGAUUUAAAGUUUAAUCUCUGCCAUUCUAGAGAUCCUUUUUUGUAGAAGAAAAAACCUAAAGCCAUGUAUGGAAGUGAGUAGUGGUGUCUGUGUAAGAGGAUGAGAUGGAGGAGUAAGACCUUGCCCUUCUCUGUUAUUGUUGUGAAUUCUUUGGAUAGGAAAUGUCUGAUAGGGAGAUUAUUUAUCAGCCCCCACCUACCCCCAAAUAUAUUCCUCCUUUUGAAGGAACCUAAACCACAAACUUUUCCAAGCAUUAAGAACUAUCUAGAACUUUGUGGGAGAAAAGGAAUUCACUGGAACAUCAAUAAGUUGCUCUGACAGCCACUUCAAGUUCAGUUUCCUUUCUGGGAGAGCCGAUUUGCUAUUUCAGGAUUUUUUUAGGUUUUUUCGAUUUAUGACACCUGUAAAUUUUUUGCAUAUUCUGCAUUUUCUAUAGAUUGAAAUAAUAAAUCUUUUGCAUGUUCUGCAUUUUCUAUAGAUUGAAAUAAAGGUUAUCCCAUACUCUA
Non-coding RNA from Monodelphis domestica (gray short-tailed opossum), 8265 nucleotides. Lineage: Eukaryota; Metazoa; Chordata; Mammalia; Didelphimorphia; Didelphidae. The record is from RefSeq and is a predicted model, not a curated record.